Molecule: long non-coding RNA, 915 nt
Filed under: Parus major (Great Tit)
Lineage: Eukaryota; Metazoa; Chordata; Aves; Passeriformes; Paridae
Description: lncRNA (ENSPMJG00000016983.1)
Source: RNAcentral
CUAAUAAUGCCUUUCUCAGAUUUUUCUUCUUAAAAAAGAAAAACCUUUACUUUUGGGAAGACAUCAGAUAUUAAUGCUGCUAUGGCUUUAAUAGAGAGUCUACCAGUUACUGAUGAGCUGUUUAAAGGAUGGUUUGCAGUGCCCGGUGGAGGUGAUGAUAGACCACUCCAGACAGGAAGAGGCUGACACAGUGGUGAUCUGCAUCUGCAGCUUCUGAGAGGAAAAAAAAAUCUUCCUUGGCAAGUGGAGCUAGAAACCCAGAAAAUGAAGGAUUAAUACGUUCAUUUAUACAGGAGCAGUGAGAACACAAUAACAUGAAAUACAACCAAGGAGGAUGCAUUUAAAAGACAAAAGAGCCCUGGAAGGGACGGUACUUAGCUUUGUUCAGAAUGCGAACUCUAACAUGCAGUUCUGGGAAUUGGUGAAUUGCACAGCUUAAUGUUAAAAGAAAUUACUUCAUACCACAAGAAAUACACGAUCUGUGCCUUGAAAACCUGAAGGUACUUUCCUUUCUCUUUCUGCCAGGAGAGGAAUGGAACACUGGAUCUACUUGAAAUUGAGAAAGGACAGAUCAUUAAGAAAACAGGACCGCUACAUUAUUGGAACCUUCAAACAGAUCUCCCUGCCUGCCUCCUUUGGAAGAGAUGCAGACUGAGCCUGAGACAUAUGGAGGCUUUGGUAAAGGGCUUUAAAAUGCUUCCUCACCCCCAGCUGAGUAUUGGUAGCUACUUCAGAGUUGUGAAAAGAGAAGAUAUCCUUAGCUGUCUGUGCAGAGCAUUUUCAGACUAAGAAGUCAGGAAGCACUGGUAGGAUAUUUAUAAUCAUGCAGAGCUCUGCUACAUUUUCAUAGUAAGGAAAAUAUAUUCUCCUGUAGGAAUUACUGUGUUCAGUCCUUUGCCCUAUGUUAAGAAGACA